UUCUUGAAGAAGAAUUGUCCCGAGAAAGCGAGCCUGCUGCCAGUUGGCUCUGUGUGACUUUUUCUUUCAUACUGUUUUUAGAACGUCGGGAUUUAUGGCCACGGGUGAUUUGUACUGACCCAAGGGAGACCAUUGAGGGAUUAAUCUAAUUAAACAAAGACAAAGGGAUAGAUGGAAACUUGGUUCUAGAAGAAUGACUUCUUGUUUCCUGGCAGCGACCCCUUCCAUCUGAAAAAGAGUACAGAUGUUUUUGGACAAUUCCUCACACUUUUGAAAAACAAUUUUUAUCCCCCCCCACCCCCAUGGACUUCACUGGAGGGUGAGGUAACGACUCAGGGGCAUGGGAGAGGCCGUGUUAUCCUGGCACGGCCUUCCGCCUCCCCUGUCCGUCUGCCCCAGCUACGGCUUGUGAUUUCAGUCGGGCGUCAUCUCAUCCAAGACUUCCUCCUCCGGGUCCUGCGGCCAUCACCGAUUCCUCCCGGUGCUGGAAGCCUGGCCACACAUCUGCCUGACCCGGUGGAGCAUGAACUUGUUUCUUCCAUCUGAUUCCCCAGAGCCUCCUGCAUUGUCCCCGUGCUCGUGUUUCAUAAACGCUCGUGGCCGAAGAGUGGCACUAUUUGGAGGCAUGGCCUUGUUGGGGGAAGCGUGUCACCGUGGGGGCGGGCUUUGAGGUCUCCUCUGCUCAAGCUACACUCGAGAGUGACAGACGCCUGCUGUUGCCCGAGGAUGGAGGUGUAAACCAACUCUCAGUGCCUUCUGCCUGCAUGCAUGCUGUCACGUUUCCCACCAUGAAGAUAAUGGACCAAGCCUCUGAAACCGUGACACGAACCUACCCUGCCUGUCACACAGGGCAAGACGCGUCCUCAUGACUGUUCGUUUGACUCCGCACUACAGCUCAGCCGUCUAGCAUGGUACCAGGAGCAAAGGAGACUUCCAGGACCUGGAGAUGUCGUCUGCAGUUCUGAAGAUGCUCACAGCCGUUGUCUGACUGAGAACAGCAGUGAAAGCCUGUCACCUCACGUGUGGAUCCAGAGUGUAUGGGAUUGUAACAGUGCAUGCUUGUUGACUGGGGCCCCACAUCCGACUGCCUGUGAAAUCCCCGUCUUGCAGAUGAGGAAAGGGGGAACAUAAAUCCUGCUGAAGUCACUGAAAGUCAUAAACCUUUGCAACGUUUGCAGCGUGUUCUCCUGAUUAAAGUUUUCCAGUCAAUGCAGGCCACAGUGCACCACAACAAUGCGGACUCUCUGUGGCGCCAGGGAAAUGGUACUUCUGAAUGGUUUCCAACUGACAUUGCUCAGGAGAAGGUUAUUUUUCCUUCAUAGCAUUGAUUUCUUAAGUAAAUCAUUUGACUCUGGAGUCAAGAGAAAAUGGAGUCUUUGCUUUUUGAAGUUAGUUCUUGCAAGGGGAACUUUUUUUUUUCUAAAGACACAUCAAACAUACACCCUGGGGCUGGGGAUGUAGCUCAGUCAGGAGAGUGCCUGUCCAGCGUGUACAAUGCUCUGGGCUUCAUCCCCAGGCCCCACAUAAACCAGGCAUCCUGCUGGCACAUACCAGUAAUCCUGGUGUGUGGGAGGUAUAAGCAAGAAGAAAAAAAAAAUUCAAGGCCAAUCUCCACUACACAGAGAGUUUGAAACCAGUCUGGGUUACUGAGACUUCAUGUCGAAACAGUUUUAACAUUGUUUUUAAGUAUGUUUUGCUUCCUUUUUUCUAAGCACUGUAUCACAAGGCUUUGCUGUUCGUCCUAUUCCAAAGCUUGAAUUUCUCAGUUCUUCCAAUGCAUUUGUCUCCCCGUUGGCUAAUAAAGCACCUGCCGCUCACACCA
Long non-coding RNA from Mesocricetus auratus (golden hamster), 1822 nucleotides. RefSeq lists it as uncharacterized. NCBI's taxonomy places the organism in Eukaryota, Metazoa, Chordata, Mammalia, Rodentia, Cricetidae. The transcript has 5 exons. The record is from RefSeq and is a predicted model, not a curated record.